UACGUAGGUGACCAGCGUUGUCCGGAUUUACUGGGCGUAAAGAGCGCGCAGGCGGUCGUUCAAGUCGAGUGUGAAAGCCCCCGGCUCAACUGGGGAGGGUCACUCGAUACUGAUCGACUUGAAGGCAGGAGAGGGAAGCGGAAUUCCCGGUGUAGUGGUGAAAUGCGUAGAUAUCGGGAGGAACACCAGUGGCGAAGGCGGUUACCUGGAGCUUUGCUGACGCUGAUGCGCGAAAGCGUGGGGAGCGAUCCGG
Molecule: ribosomal RNA, 253 nt
Filed under: uncultured bacterium
Lineage: Bacteria
Description: partial 16S ribosomal RNA
Rfam family: Bacterial small subunit ribosomal RNA
Source: RNAcentral